This 451-nucleotide ribosomal RNA is filed under the name Haliphron sp. ARL-2004. Its description in RNAcentral is "partial 28S ribosomal RNA". It matches the Rfam family "Eukaryotic large subunit ribosomal RNA", at positions 666 to 946 of the family's 3401-position model. The record is from RNAcentral. Lineage: Eukaryota; Metazoa; Mollusca; Cephalopoda; Octopoda; Alloposidae.
CCGAGGAGUCCCAGUCGGCUGCGAGUCGUUGGAGCCGAUCGAAUCGCGCGAACUCCGACGGCACAGUGAAAGCGAGAACGUGACGCGCGUCGUCUUGGUCGUCGUCAAAAAGCGGCCAGGGCGCACCGAAGCAUCGUUCCCGGGUCGGUCACGGCGCGCGUCGCUUCGUCGGUGGCGGCGGCGGAGGCUUCGGAGGCAGCGUGCGUCGUCGUCGUCGUUUUCUCAACGGCGACGGCGGCUGCUGCUGCCAUCGUUGUCGUUACCGUCGCCGUCGCUGCUGCACGCGCGUUCCGACUCAGGUGUAGCAGGCGGCCGGGGACCCGAAAGAUGGCGAUCCACGCCCGGUCGGGACGAAGCCAGAGGAAACUCUGGUGGAAGUCCGAAGCGCCUCUGACGUGCAAAUCGAUCGUCGGAACCGGGUGUAGGGGCGAAAGACCAAUCGAGCCGUCUA